This 491-nucleotide ribosomal RNA is filed under the name uncultured bacterium. RNAcentral's name for it is "partial 16S ribosomal RNA". It matches the Rfam family "Bacterial small subunit ribosomal RNA", at positions 29 to 507 of the family's 1533-position model. The record is from RNAcentral.
GUGAACGCUGGCGGUAGGCCUAACACAUGCCAGUCGAACGGCAGCACAGUAAGAGCUUGCUCUUACGGGUGGCGAGUGGCGGACGGGUGAGGAAUACAUCGGAAUCUACUUUUUCGUGGGGGAUAACGUAGGGAAACUUACGCUAAUACCGCAUACGACCUACGGGUGAAAGCAGGGGAUCUUCGGACCUUGCGCGAUUGAAUGAGCCGAUGUCGGAUUAGCUAGUUGGCGGGGUAAAGGCCCACCAAGGCGACGAUCCGUAGCCGGUCUGAGAGGAUGAUCAGCCACACUGGAACUGAGACACGGUCCAGACUCCUACGGGAGGCAGCAGUGGGGAAUAUUGGACAAUGGGCGCAAGCCUGAUCCAGCCAUACCGCGUGGGUGAAGAAGGCCUUCGGGUUGUAAAGCCCUUUUGUUGGGAAAGAAAAGCAGCAGGUUAAUACCCCGCUGUUCUGACGGUACCCAAAGAAUAAGCACCGGCUAACUUCGUG